Molecule: unclassified non-coding RNA, 319 nt
Filed under: Hevea brasiliensis (rubber tree)
Lineage: Eukaryota; Viridiplantae; Streptophyta; Magnoliopsida; Malpighiales; Euphorbiaceae
Source: RNAcentral
UAAUAUGAUUAUUUAGGGUACGCUCAUACAAUAACCAAUCGGUCCUACUUUAAAUCUUCACCGAAUUUCCCGUCCCCAUGGAGGAUGGCUGGAGGCUAAGCAUGAUUGUUCCCACACUGGUGAGUCCAAAAUCGACGAUGAUGUGCCUAAAUGCUCCUUGAUUUGGUCUCCCUUUUUCGAUUAUUCAGAAUUUGAGAAGGAUUGGACUACGUUGAGAGGUGCAGGUGCCGAUUCUGUUGAAGAUGGCGGUGGUGGCGGCGGUCAUGGCGGUGGAGGCGAUGGUGACGAGGAUUUACUGUUGGGGUUUGACGGGUGAAGA